This 486-nucleotide ribosomal RNA is filed under the name uncultured bacterium. Its description in RNAcentral is "partial 16S ribosomal RNA". It matches the Rfam family "Bacterial small subunit ribosomal RNA", at positions 30 to 507 of the family's 1533-position model. The record is from RNAcentral.
AUUGAACGCUGGCGGCAUGCCUUACACAUGCAAGUCGAACGGCAGCACGGGUGCUUGCACCUGGUGGCGAGUGGCGAACGGGUGAGUAAUACAUCGGAACAUGUCCUGAAGUGGGGGAUAGCCCGGCGAAAGCCGGAUUAAUACCGCAUACGAUCUACGGAUGAAAGCGGGGGACCUUCGGGCCUCGCGCUAUAGGGUUGGCCGAUGGCUGAUUAGCUAGUUGGUGGGGUAAAGGCCUACCAAGGCGACGAUCAGUAGCUGGUCUGAGAGGACGACCAGCCACACUGGGACUGAGACACGGCCCAGACUCCUACGGGAGGCAGCAGUGGGGAAUUUUGGACAAUGGGCGAAAGCCUGAUCCAGCAAUGCCGCGUGUGUGAAGAAGGCCUUCGGGUUGUAAAGCACUUUUGUCCGGAAAGAAAUCCUUGGCUCUAAUACAGUCGGGGGAUGACGGUACCGGAAGAAUAAGCACCGGCUAACUACGUG